Molecule: ribosomal RNA, 305 nt
Filed under: uncultured bacterium
Lineage: Bacteria
Description: bacterial SSU rRNA
Rfam family: Bacterial small subunit ribosomal RNA
Source: RNAcentral
CACCUACGGGGGGCAGCAGUGGGGAAUAUUGCGCAAUGGGGGAAACCCUGACGCAGCAACGCCGCGUGAGUGAAGAAGUAUCUCGGUAUGUAAAGCUCUAUCAGCGGGGAAGAAGGAAGACGGUACCCGACUAAGAAGCCCCGGCUAACUACGUGCCAGCAGCCGCGGUAAUACGUAGGGGGCGAGCGUUAUCCGGAUUUACUGGGUGUAAAGGGAGCGUAGACGGCGGCGCAAGUCCGGAGUGAAAGCCCACGGCCCAACCGUGGGACUGCUCUGGAAACUGUGCGGCUUGAGUGCGGGAGGGG